RNAcentral lists this ribosomal RNA (253 nucleotides) under uncultured bacterium. RNAcentral describes it as "partial 16S ribosomal RNA". It matches the Rfam family "Bacterial small subunit ribosomal RNA", at positions 524 to 776 of the family's 1533-position model. The record is from RNAcentral.
UACGAAGGUGGCAAGCGUUGUUCGGAUUUACUGGGCGUAAAGAGUGCGUAGGCGGUUUUACAAGUCAGAAGUGAAAGCCCAAGGCUCAACCUUGGAAUUGCUUUUGAAACUGUUUAACUUGAAUCCGGUAGAGGUUGGCGGAAUUCUCAGUGUAGAGGUGAAAUUCGCAGAUAUUGAGAGGAACACCAGUGGCGUAAGCGGCCAACUGGACCGGUUUUGACGCUGAGGCACGAAAGCAUGGGGAGCAAACAGG